ACGAACGCUGGCGGCGUGCUUAACACAUGCAAGUCGCACGGAAAGGCCCUGCUUUUGUGGGGUGCUCGAGUGGCGAACGGGUGAGUAACACGUGAGUAACCUGCCCUUGACUUUGGGAUAACUUCAGGAAACUGGGGCUAAUACCGGAUAGGAGCUCCUGCUGCAUGGUGGGGGUUGGAAAGUUUCGGCGGUUGGGGAUGGACUCGCGGCUUAUCAGCUUGUCGGCGGGGUAGUGGCUUACCAAGGCUUUGACGGGUAGCCGGCCUGAGAGGGUGACCGGCCACAUUGGGACUGAGAUACGGCCCAGACUCCUACGGGAGGCAGCAGUGGGGAAUAUUGCACAAUGGGCGGAAGCCUGAUGCAGCAACGCCGCGUGCGGGAUGACGGCCUUCGGGUUGUAAACCGCUUUCGCCUGUGACGAAGCGUGAGUGACGGUAAUGGGUAAAGAAGCACCGGCUAACUACGUG
This 467-nucleotide ribosomal RNA is filed under the name uncultured bacterium. RNAcentral describes it as "partial 16S ribosomal RNA". It matches the Rfam family "Bacterial small subunit ribosomal RNA", at positions 29 to 507 of the family's 1533-position model. The record is from RNAcentral.